GCCUUGUUAGCUCAGUGGUAGUGAGUGUGCCAAAAAAGGAAAAUUUUUUCUAUACCUAACCGAAAUAGGAGCGCAUCACUAGUAAUGAUGAGGUCGCGAGUUCAAUUCUCUCACGAGGCA
Non-coding RNA from Oidiodendron maius Zn, 120 nucleotides. Lineage: Eukaryota; Fungi; Ascomycota; Leotiomycetes; Myxotrichaceae. The record is from the annotation of a GenBank genome assembly.